This 330-nucleotide ribosomal RNA is filed under the name uncultured Glomeromycotina. RNAcentral's name for it is "SSU rRNA". It matches the Rfam family "Eukaryotic small subunit ribosomal RNA", at positions 569 to 903 of the family's 1831-position model. Lineage: Eukaryota; Fungi; Glomeromycota. The record is from RNAcentral.
AGCAGCCGCGGUAAUUCCAGCUCCAAUAGCGUAUAUUAAAGUUGUUGCAGUUAAAAAGCUCGUAGUUGAAUUUCGGGACCAAUUUGUUGGUCGUGCCUCGGUACGUACUGGUAUUAUUGGUUUCUCCCUUCUGAAGAACCUCGAUGCCAUUAAUUUGGUGUCGUGGGGAAUCAGGACUGUUACUUUGAAAAAAUUGAGUAGUUUAAAGCAAGCAUACGCUUGAAUACAUUAGCAUGGAAUAAUGAAAUAGGACGUUUGAUUCUAUUUUGUUGGUUUCUAGGAUCGACGUAAUGAUUAAUAGGGAUAGUUGGGGGCAGUUAGUAUUCAAUU